This is a small nucleolar RNA of Cavia porcellus (domestic guinea pig), 102 nucleotides long. It matches the Rfam family "Small nucleolar RNA U13". Lineage: Eukaryota; Metazoa; Chordata; Mammalia; Rodentia; Caviidae. The record is from Rfam.
UUCCUUUUGUGAUUCAUGAAUGUGAUAACUAGGUUUUCACAUCAUUGUGUGACAUGUGCCUCUCUCAGACCUUGUUAAUUAUUGACCGAGUACUCAUUGAUA